Capsicum annuum is the source of this 2173-nucleotide long non-coding RNA. RefSeq lists it as uncharacterized. NCBI's taxonomy places the organism in Eukaryota, Viridiplantae, Streptophyta, Magnoliopsida, Solanales, Solanaceae. The transcript is spliced from 2 exons. The record is from RefSeq and is a predicted model, not a curated record.
UUCAAAGUUAUAAAAUAUUUUUAAUAAAAUUAGAUAAUAUUUCUUUCUUUACUUCGUUUUUUUUUAAUAAUUUUUUUAAACGUAUUUCAUAAUCUUUAGUAUUAUUUCAAGUGAAGUUAAAAUCAUAAAAAAUUUACUAUUAAAACUUUUUAGGCCUCAAAAUUUUGGAAUCUGAACCAAACGCUUUACUAGCCUUACCCUUAAGCCACCCCGACGUCACAUCUGAAUUUUUAUAAUGUAUUUUCUGAUGAGAGGCAACAAGCACAAGAAUAAGCGGAUUCAACAUGUUGCGUCACUACUGCAAGGGAAGUCUUAUUACAUAUGACCAAUGUGGCUCCGAACUCCGCACAUAGCAGAAUAGUGCAUUGAAUUGAAUUUGAUGCAGAAUGAAAGUGGCUAAGCAAGAUAGUACAAGGAGCUAUAUGAGAGUAAUACUGGAGCUGUCAUUAUUAGUUAGUUAUUAAGUUAUCAAGUUUACAUUUUAUCUCAUUAAGUAUGGUAAAAAAAACUUUAGUUAAUUACACUCAAGUACUGAAAGUAUCUUGCUUUGAGCUGAUUCAGUCCAUGAGAGAGUUAAAAAUGUAGUACAAUAGGGGUGGCUCAGCAAGAGGUGUGAUCCUGUAUAAUGUGCUGAUACAAUUGUAUUGAAUAAUUAAUGAAAUCUUUCCUUAGUCAUACUUAGAAUAACUUUUUCUCUUCCUUAAGUUUCUCUGCUUUUCAUGAGUGUUUGCACAGUUUUAUUGGUUACUGUUUCAUGUCUCAUUAUGACCUUGGUAUAUUAUUCUCUAUCUUGAGCGGAGGGUCUAUUGGAAACAACCUCCCUACUUCCUCGGAAAUAGUGGUAUGGACUGCCGACAUUUUACCCUCCCUAGACCUCACUUUGUGGGAAUAUACUGAGUCUGUUGUUGUUGUUGUAUUAGUUACUGUUCCAUUAAAGUUGCAUCAUUUGGUAUCAAAACAUCAUCUUGGGCUUUGUGGGUAUUGACAAGGCAACUGAUAUGAGUGAGAUUAAGUCAAUAUGAGAGAGGGCCACUUGGAGACGGCUAAUUUCUUUGUAAGACAAUCUCAGGUGGAAGAACAACAUGAGAAAUUAGUUGCAGCUUUAGGGAAACCUUGGAAGGAUAAAAAAAGGUUCGAUAGGGGAAAGAGGGUUGAUAAACUCGAUGGAGCGUGGAGAGAUAUACACCCCGUUAAGGAACCCUAUGGCUUGGAUGAACCAGAAUUACGGAGGACAACAGUAUCCUGCAGGAUCUCAUCUCGAAGUGGGUUCUACCCCUCAAUUUCAAAAUACUGUGGACAUAACUACACCUCGCAAAGGUUGCAUCAAGGGCCUAGUGUCACAGGGCAACAAUGAGGGAUUUAUUUUGGAUCAUCACCUGAGAACGUCUUUGGAAGUCAAGCAAUAACAAGGUUUACCAAGAUGAAAUUUUCCAAGUUUAACGGAUCUAACCUCAAAACGUGGUUGUGCAAGGUGAAGCAACACUUUUCUAUGGAUAAGUUACCGUAUGUUCAGAAGGUUAAGGUAGCCUCUAUUCACUAUGAUAAUAUUGCUAUUGAAUGACACCUAACUUGUUUAAAAAGUAGAGCUCAUUUACCGUAUUCUGCUUGGGAAGAGUAUGUAUAUGCAUUGAUGGAUAAAUUUGGAACUGAGUACUCAGAUCCUAUAGCUGAGCUGAAGGUGGGAACACCGUUAAAGAUACAACUACUUGGUGGAGCUGCAUUUAUGACCAGGCACGAACUUCCCAUCACAAAAGAGUCAAAACCCUUUCUGCCUUUUCUCAGUCAUUUCAGCAGGGGUAAGCCUCUUAGAUGAUCUCUUGUUUAAGCUCACAGAUGGGUCCCUCUUAACUGGCUGCACAUCUUUUUUACUGCUCAAUCCUUUAGAGAAUGAGCUAUAGGAUCCACCUUUGGUCUGAGAGACCCCAUUACCAUACUCAACUGACCUAGUCAAUUUCAACUGAGCAUUAACUUGAGCUUCAGUGUUCUUGGACAAUUGGUAAGCUUGUGGUAGUGAGUAUGGUCUAUGGUUCUUAACUGUAUAACCAAUUUCAGGUUUUAAUCCGGUAAUAUUUAAUUUAAUCCAAUGCCAGUUGCUCCAUGAUCUAAUGCCUAUUGCAAUGAAUUCAUUAACUUUUUAAAGAAAAUACUAUAAGUUCAAACCUACUUUGAUAAA